CGCGUGAGUGAAGAAGGCCUUCGGGUUGUAAAGCUCUUUUGUCAGGGAAGAAACGGUGAGAGCUAAUAUCUCUUGCUAAUGACGGUACCUGAAGAAUAAGCACCGGCUAACUACGUGCCAGCAGCCGCGGUAAUACGUAGGGUGCAAGCGUUAAUCGGAAUUACUGGGCGUAAAGCGUGCGCAGGCGGUUUUGUAAGUCUGAUGUGAAAUCCCCGGGCUCAACCUGGGAAUUGCAUUGGAGACUGCAAGGCUAGAAUCUGGCAGAGGGGGGUAGAAUUCCACGUGUAGCAGUGAAAUGCGUAGAUAUGUGGAGGAACACCGAUGGCGAAGGCAGCCCCCUGGGUCAAGAUUGACGCUCAUGCACGAAAGCGUGGGGAGCAAACAGGAUUAGAUACCCUGGUAGUCCACGCCCUAAACGAUGUCUACUAGUUGUCGGGUCUUAAUUGACUUGGUAACGCAGCUAACGCGUGAAGUAGACCGCCUGGGGAGUACGGUCGCAAGAUUAAAACUCAAAGGAAUUGACGG
This 525-nucleotide ribosomal RNA is filed under the name uncultured Burkholderiales bacterium. RNAcentral's name for it is "bacterial SSU rRNA". It matches the Rfam family "Bacterial small subunit ribosomal RNA", at positions 398 to 916 of the family's 1533-position model. The record is from RNAcentral. Lineage: Bacteria; Pseudomonadati; Pseudomonadota; Betaproteobacteria; Burkholderiales.